GUGAGGAAUUUUCCGCAAUGGGCGAAAGCCUGACGGAGCAAUGCCGCGUGAAGGAUGAAGGCCUAUGGGUUGUAAACUUCUUUUCUCAGAAAAGAAUUAUGACGGUAUCUGAGGAAUAAGCAUCGGCUAACUCUGUGCCAGCAGCCGCGGUAAGACAGAGGAUGCAAGCGUUAUCCGGAAUGAUUGGGCGUAAAGCGUCUGUAGGUUGUUUAAAAAGUAUUCUGUCAAAGAUUAGGGCUUAACCCUAGAUAGGCAGAAUAAACUUUUAAGCUAGAGUUUGGUAGAGGCAGAGGGAAUUCCCGGGGGAGCGGUGAAAUGCGUAGAUAUCGGGAGGAACACCAAAGGCGAAGGCACUCUGCUGGGCCAAUACUAACACUGAGAGACGAAAGCGAGGGGAGCAAAUGGGAUUAGAAACCCUAGUAGUCC
RNAcentral lists this ribosomal RNA (426 nucleotides) under uncultured bacterium. RNAcentral describes it as "partial 16S ribosomal RNA". It matches the Rfam family "Bacterial small subunit ribosomal RNA", at positions 354 to 796 of the family's 1533-position model. The record is from RNAcentral.